UACGUAGGGUGCAAGCGUUAAUCGGAAUUACUGGGCGUAAAGCGUGCGCAGGCGGUUUUGUAAGUCUGUUGUGAAAUCCCCGGGCUCAACCUGGGAAUGGCAAUGGAGACUGCAAGGCUAGAGUUUGGCAGAGGGGGGUAGAAUUCCACGUGUAGCAGUGAAAUGCGUAGAUAUGUGGAGGAACACCGAUGGCGAAGGCAGCCCCCCUGGGUCAAGAUUGACGCUCAUGCACGAAAGCGUGGGGAGCAAACAGG
Molecule: ribosomal RNA, 254 nt
Filed under: uncultured bacterium
Lineage: Bacteria
Description: partial 16S ribosomal RNA
Rfam family: Bacterial small subunit ribosomal RNA
Source: RNAcentral